This 320-nucleotide unclassified non-coding RNA is filed under the name plant metagenome. RNAcentral describes it as "partial contains 5.8S ribosomal RNA, internal transcribed spacer 2, and large subunit ribosomal RNA". The stretch from base 1 to 105 matches the Rfam family "5.8S ribosomal RNA", at positions 50 to 154 of the family's 154-position model. The record is from RNAcentral.
CAAAUGCGAUAAGUAAUGUGAAUUGCAGAAUUCAGUGAAUCAUCGAAUCUUUGAACGCACAUUGCGCCCGCCAGUAUUCUGGCGGGCAUGCCUGUUCGAGCGUCAUUACAACCCUCAGGCCCCCGGGCCUGGCGUUGGGGAUCGGCGGAAGCCCCCUGCGGGCACAACGCCGUCCCCCAAAUACAGUGGCGGUCCCGCCGCAGCUUCCAUUGCGUAGUAGCUAACACCUCGCAACUGGAGAGCGGCGCGGCCACGCCGUAAAACACCCAACUUCUGAAUGUUGACCUCGAAUCAGGUAGGAAUACCCGCUGAACUUAAGC